RNAcentral lists this ribosomal RNA (492 nucleotides) under uncultured bacterium. Its description in RNAcentral is "bacterial SSU rRNA". It matches the Rfam family "Bacterial small subunit ribosomal RNA", at positions 28 to 507 of the family's 1533-position model. The record is from RNAcentral.
GAUGAACGCUAGCGGGAGGCUUAACACAUGCAAGUCGAGGGGCAGCAUAGGGUAGCAAUACUCUGAUGGCGACCGGCAAACGGGUGAGUAACGCGUAUGCAACCUACCCUGUACAGGGGGAUAACCCGGAGAAAUUCGGACUAAUAUCCCGUAAUAAUAUCCGGAGGCAUCUUUGGAUAUUUAAAGUUCCGACGGUACGGGAUGGGCAUGCGUAACAUUAACUGGUUGGUAAGGUAACGGCUUACCAAGGCUAUGAUGUUUAGGGGUCCUGAGAGGGUGGUCCCCCACACUGGUACUGAGACACGGACCAGACUCCUACGGGAGGCAGCAGUGAGGAAUAUUGGUCAAUGGGCGGAAGCCUGAACCAGCCAUGCCGCGUGCAGGAUGACGGCCCUACGGGUUGUAAACUGCUUUUCCCCGGGGCGAAUAACCCCCUCGCGACGGGGGAGUGGCCGGUACCGGGGGAACGUAGGGAGUCGGCGUAACUCCGUG